Molecule: long non-coding RNA, 2414 nt
Filed under: Mus musculus (house mouse)
Lineage: Eukaryota; Metazoa; Chordata; Mammalia; Rodentia; Muridae
Description: RIKEN cDNA G530011O06 gene, transcript variant 2 (G530011O06Rik)
Source: RNAcentral
UUCUGCUUUCCCCUAACCAGGCUCCUGGGCUCAGCGCUCUGCAAUCCAAUCUCACUGUGGACUCCUGUCUCAUCUCUGUGUCUCUGAGGCACCUGUCUGGUGUGAUAAUAGAAUGAGUGGAGUACGGGUCCUCUUAACGACUGACUUGUUCCAGAACCUCAGAACUGAAGUCUGCCAAAAGCUAUGAUGCCAGGCAGACAUCGGCAAUACUCUCUUCCCGUCCCUCGUAAUGAAUAAGAAGCCUUCUGCAGUCUGUGGCGCUGAGGCACAGGCCUGGUUUCUGCCUUCCAUCCGAUCCAAAGCAAUUCCAGAUUCUUCCAGGAUGUUUUUUAGGCACAGGCAUCGGAACUGCAGGCAUGCCCGUAUCUCUUCAACCAUGCCUGUGCUUCCAGCCACAGUUGUGGCAUUGCACUUUCAUGCCAUUCCUGCUUCACCGAAAUGCUGCUCUCAUUUCACUCUUCACCGUUGGAGUCCAUGUCUAUUAAUGGUGUAUGUCUGCAGCGGAGUGAGUGCUACAAAAGAUGGACUCUACCUAUAAUCAUGGCCCAAACUGGAAUACCUUUUAUUACUAUCCUCUAGCUCCUGAAAGGAAACCCCAGGCCGUGAAAUUCAAGCUGCAGCUGAGUAAGGGUGCUUCUCAGCCAUUCGGUAUUCCUCAGGUGAUAGCCCAAAAAACUUAGAAUACCCAAGAUACAAGAUACAAUUUGCAAAACACAUGAAACUCAAGAAGAACGAAGACCAAAGUGUGGACACUUUGCCCCUUCUCAGAACUGGGAACAAAACACCCAUGGAAGGAGUUACAGAGACAAAGUUUGGAGCUGAGACGAAAGGUGGACCAUCUAGAGACUGCCUUAUCCAGGGAUCCACCCCAUAAUCAGCUUCCAAACGCUGACACCAUUGCACACACCAGCAAGAUUUUAUCGAAAGGACCCAGAUAUAGCUGACGAAAUCCAGGCCCAUCCAUGUUCCUGAAAAUGUGAAGACUCCAUUCUUUUUAUGGCAGAAUACAAUUCCCAUAUGUGUAUAUACCAUAUUCUUAAAAUCCACUCUUCUGUCAAGGGAACUUUAGGUUGAUUCUAUAUCUUAGCUAUUGUAAAUAGUAUAGCAAUAAAUAUGGCUGAGCAAGUAUCUCUAUGUUAGGAUAUGGAGUCCUUUGGGUACAUGACCAGGAUUUGUAUAACUAGUUGUGUGUGUGUGUGUGUGUGUGUGUGUGUGUGUGUGUGUGUGUGUGUGUGUGUAUUUGUAUAACUAGUUGUGUGUGUGUGUGUGUGUGUGUACCCUUCAAACUGAGCUUCAUUGUGAAUACACUACUUUGCAUUGCCACCAGCAGUGUAUAAAGGUUCCUUUCACUUCUGUAUUCACACCAGCAUCUGUUGUUGUAUCUAAUAGGACUUUAGAAACAUUCUUUUUUUUUUUUUUUUCCUCAUUGGACCAUGUCUGGCUGAAGUGAGUUAGCCACCUACAGGCUUUCAAAGCAGAACUUCCCGAUUCAUCCUGCCAAAAGGAUAUACUCAUUCGAGAGAUGGCUUCCUGUUGGUACACAGAAGGAACACUGAAGUAAGCCUGGGACAGGAUAAAGCCAAUGUGUCAGAGACAGGAAAUCUUACUUCUGAGUAUUCAGGGAGAAAGGAGCAUUGCUCAAUGCACUAGGAAUUCUACAAAAAUGGUUACCCCCCCCCUGAGAUUACACAGCCUAGGAACCAUGCUGGCCCUCAAUCAGUGCAAUUUUGAAACUGCACCGCUGCACCACUAAACAAUUACACUUUCCUUUUAAGGCUGUUAACCUUUCUGUCUGGUAGUUUUAAACACAGUUAUCUACACUGUAUAUUUGCCUAAAAGCAGUCUUUAUGGCACCAUCACAAGCUGGGUCAUUCCAUACUCAUUUAAAUUAAGGGAACCCAGAGAAAGGAGGCGACAUUCACAUAUGAUGUCCUGUAAGUGUGGUUAUUUGGACUCCAGAGCACUUGUCUCUGUAUAUCUGUAACUUUGAUUCUGCAUCUGAUUAUAAAGUGGAUAGUUUUAUUUAAAAAGCAUGGUCCGGCUCUCCCAUUUAACUCGAAAAAGAGACACACUAAAGGAGUUAAUUCCAAAGUGGAUAAAUUGAUAUUUUGGCCAGUAAGAUGAGGGCAUGAGGGGAAAGCUGCACUCACGUCAGCUCUGUGCCCCACUGUGCUCUGCCGACCAGGUGCAAAGAGAAAUAUGAGGAUCUGAGGGUGCUUUGGUUUUUAUUGCCAAAGGCAGCCGUGAUGAACAUUCCAGACCCUGGGGCAGAAGUUAGACAGAGCUGCCAGAAGGAACAAUGAAAGGGAUCCUAAUAGUUUAGUUUGUACAUAAAACCGAGCCAAGGAGAACUGAGUAAGCACAGACGGUAUUACUGUAAUACAUCUGAUAUGUUUACAUCGACGUUUUACUCU